GAUGAACGCUGGCGGCGUGCCUAAUACAUGCAAGUCGAGCGAACGGACGAGAGGCUUGCUUCUCUGAUGUUAGCGGCGGACGGGUGAGUAACACGUGGAUAACCUACCUAUAAGACUGGGAUAACUUCGGGAAACCGGAGCUAAUACCGGAUAAUAUUUUGAACUGCAUGGUUCAAAAGUGAAAGACGGUCUUGCUGUCACUUAUAGAUGGAUCCGCGCUGCAUUAGCUAGUUGGUAAGGUAACGGCUUACCAAGGCAACGAUGCAUAGCCGACCUGAGAGGGUGAUCGGCCACACUGGAACUGAGACACGGUCCAGACUCCUACGGGAGGCAGCAGUAGGGAAUCUUCCGCAAUGGGCGAAAGCCUGACGGAGCAACGCCGCGUGAGUGAUGAAGGUCUUCGGAUCGUAAAACUCUGUUAUUAGGGAAGAACAUAUGUGUAAGUAACUGUGCACAUCUUGACGGUACCUAAUCAGAAAGCCACGGCUAACUACGUG
Molecule: ribosomal RNA, 497 nt
Filed under: uncultured bacterium
Lineage: Bacteria
Description: partial 16S ribosomal RNA
Rfam family: Bacterial small subunit ribosomal RNA
Source: RNAcentral